AGAGGAUGAGGCUAUAUAUCGCGUUUAACUGUUAAUUAAUGAUAGCAGUCUUUCCACUGCCAUCCUUUA
This 69-nucleotide transfer RNA is filed under the name Melibe leonina. Its description in RNAcentral is "tRNA-Asn". The record is from RNAcentral. Lineage: Eukaryota; Metazoa; Mollusca; Gastropoda; Nudibranchia; Dendronotidae.